AUCUCGAUUUUUGUGCAUGUAAUCAAACAAGCGCUUUCUUUUUUGCUUUCCUCGGUGCCCAUGUGCAAAUAGGAGCCAAUUUUGAACUUGUUUUUCUUUCCUUUUCCUUUUCCUAAAAGUAAAGCCUUUCUUUGCUUCUCGGUCUACGUGUGUGAGAGCGAGAGAGGACAAAUUUUUGAUGCUAUAUAUUUUUUUUUAUUUCCAUGAGAGUGUG
RNAcentral lists this long non-coding RNA (214 nucleotides) under Carica papaya (papaya). Its description in RNAcentral is "long non-coding RNA (CPAP_LNC004324)". Lineage: Eukaryota; Viridiplantae; Streptophyta; Magnoliopsida; Brassicales; Caricaceae. The record is from RNAcentral.